GAAUACCAGUUUCCGAGCGGCAGCGGCAGCGAUGGCGAUUUUUAGUGUGUAUGUGGUGAACAAAGCUGGCGGCUUGAUUUACCAGUUGGACAGCUACGCGCCACGGGCUGAGGCUGAGAAAACUUUCAGUUAUCCGCUGGAUCUGCUGCUCAAGCUACACGAUGAGCGUGUGUUGGUUGCUUUCGGCCAGCGGGACGGCAUCCGAGUGGGUCAUGCAGUGCUGGCCAUCAAUGGCAUGGACGUGAAUGGCAGGUACACGGCCGACGGGAAAGAGGUGCUGGAGUAUCUGGGUAACCCUGCUAAUUACCCGGUGUCCAUUCGAUUUGGCCGGCCCCGCCUCACUUCUAAUGAGAAGCUUAUGCUGGCCUCCAUGUUCCACUCGCUCUUUGCCAUCGGCUCCCAGCUGUCUCCUGAACAGGGAAGCUCAGGCAUUGAGAUGCUGGAGACAGACACAUUCAAAUUGCACUGCUACCAGACACUGACAGGUAUGCAUCUCCACGGAGGCCAGAGGAGUGUGAUGGAGAAGGUGGGGAAGAGAUACUGAUAAGUUUGCAUCUCCAGGUGGGCCAGAGGAGUGUGGUGGAGAAGGUGGGAGGAGGGGGUUGACCAAAGACACCUUUGGUAAGCAAGAAGAGGGGGUGUGCUUUUCCUGGCACAAUUCUUUUUUUUUGAAAUGUUUCACUCUUGUUGCCCAGGCUGGAAUGCAGUGGCAUGAUCCGCCCCCUGGGUUCAAGCAGUUCUCCUGCCUCAGGCUCCCAGAUAGCUGGGAUUACAGGCAUGUGUCACCACACCCGGCUAAUUUUUCUGUUUUUGUUAGAGAUGGUGUUUCUCCAUAUUGGUCAUGGUGGUCUCAAAUUCCCGACCUCAGGUGAUUGCCCGCCUCCCAAAGUGUUGGGAUUACAGGCGUGAGCCACCACACCCGGCCCACAGUUCUUUUUUUUUUUUUUUUGAGAUGGAGUUUCACUCUGCCACUCA
This 975-nucleotide small RNA is filed under the name Pan troglodytes (chimpanzee). RNAcentral's name for it is "retained intron". The record is from RNAcentral. Lineage: Eukaryota; Metazoa; Chordata; Mammalia; Primates; Hominidae.